This 55-nucleotide transfer RNA is filed under the name Pomphorhynchus rocci. Its description in RNAcentral is "tRNA-Pro". The record is from RNAcentral. Lineage: Eukaryota; Metazoa; Acanthocephala; Palaeacanthocephala; Echinorhynchida; Pomphorhynchidae.
UUCAAGCAUACUUUAGUUUGGAGAAUACUUGUUUUGGGUAUAAGAGGGUUUGUGU